AUUCCAGCUCCAAUAGCGUAUAUUAAAGUUGUUGCGGUUAAAAAGCUCGUAGUUGGAGUUCUGCCAGGUGGCGCUCGUCCGCCCAAGUGGUGUGUACAGGGCGUGCAUCUGGCCCUUUCAAGGGGAACGUGUCUGCACUUCAUUGUGUGGUGCGAGAUCCUUGACUUUUACUUUGAGGAAAUAAGAGUGUUCCAAGCAGGCUAGCGCUUGAAUACAUUAGCAUGGAAUAAUGGAAUAGGACUUUGGUGCUAUUUUGUUGGCUUAUGGGACCGAAGUAAUGAUUAAUAGGGACAGUUGGGGCCGUUUAUAUUUCGUUGUCAGAGGUGAAAUUCUUGGAUUUACGAAAGAUAAACUUCUGCGAAAGCAUUCGGCAAGGAUGUUUUCAUUG
Molecule: ribosomal RNA, 388 nt
Filed under: Rhodomonas sp.
Lineage: Eukaryota; Cryptophyceae; Pyrenomonadales; Pyrenomonadaceae
Description: partial small subunit ribosomal RNA
Rfam family: Eukaryotic small subunit ribosomal RNA
Source: RNAcentral